AACAAGCCAGGGCAGACACGGGGGGCUGUUGGCAGAGGUGGGGAGUGGUGAUUCCACCUAACCUGGGUCAGUGACCCCCGAGACCCCACGUGGACCACCUUAGGACAAGAUUUUGGUGUCUGCCUCUUCUCCUCUGGGAGGGGGGGUUCUUUUUGUGCCCGGCUGUUGGGGGAGAACGUGUGACCAGGCCACGUGAACUGAUGCAGAUUUAAAAGUCCGUCUUACCAGCAAGAAUAGGUGCUGACAGUGGGGGUUGGGGGUGGGAAGACAAGCUGCUCUGAGGAGUGGGAGGUGUCACGGCAGAGUAAGAACGGCAGCUGGGUGCCCCUGAGCUGGCUAGGGACUUGAAAAGCAAGUGGUGAACAUCACCCCUAUAUUUAGUAAGGCACCAGCUGGAUCAACCACAAGGACCUAUCUUGGUUGGUGGAUACCUGGACCCUGAGGUCAGAGGGCAGCUUGCUACAAGUGAUGGGUGUCUCACUGCCUACCCAAUGAUUUCAAGACAGCUCCAUAGAAAGCGCUUCCAUUCUCCCGGCCAACCUUUGCCUCCCUGUAAUGUGUCCUCACUGGCCUGGCUUAGUCAUCUGGAGACACACACAGGCUUUGCACACUCUCCUCCAGCUGUUCGGAGUGGCCUGUGCCCUCCUGACCUUGUAGGUUUGCUGUGAAUCUCUUGUGGUUUCUGUGGGUGCCCCAGGCACCCGCAC
RNAcentral lists this long non-coding RNA (707 nucleotides) under Rattus norvegicus (Norway rat). RNAcentral's name for it is "long non-coding RNA NONRATT006323". The record is from RNAcentral. Lineage: Eukaryota; Metazoa; Chordata; Mammalia; Rodentia; Muridae.